This 189-nucleotide ribosomal RNA is filed under the name uncultured bacterium. RNAcentral's name for it is "partial 16S ribosomal RNA". It matches the Rfam family "Bacterial small subunit ribosomal RNA", at positions 338 to 524 of the family's 1533-position model. The record is from RNAcentral.
CCUACGGGAGGCAGCAGUGAGGAAUAUUGGACAAUGGGUGAGAGCCUGAUCCAGCCAUCCCGCGUGCAGGAAGACGGCCUUAUGGGUUGUAAACUGCUUUUAUACAGGAAUAAACCAUCUUACGUGUAGGGUGUUGAAGGUACUGUAUGAAUAAGCACCGGCUAACUCCGUGCCAGCAGCCGCGGUAAU